CGACUCUCGGCAACGGAUAUCUCGGCUCACGCAUCGAUGAAGAACGUAGCAAAAUGCGAUACUUGGUGUGAAUUGCAGAAUCCCGUGAAUCAUCGAGUUUUUGAACGCAAGUUGCGCCCGAAGCCAUCCGGUUGAGGGCACGUCUGCCUGGGCGUCACG
RNAcentral lists this ribosomal RNA (159 nucleotides) under Smallanthus uvedalia. RNAcentral describes it as "5.8S ribosomal RNA". It matches the Rfam family "5.8S ribosomal RNA". From Rfam's summary of the family: 5.8S ribosomal RNA (5.8S rRNA) is a component of the large subunit of the eukaryotic ribosome. It is transcribed by RNA polymerase I as part of the 45S precursor that also contains 18S and 28S rRNA. The record is from RNAcentral. RNAcentral also lists the same sequence under 4 other names. Lineage: Eukaryota; Viridiplantae; Streptophyta; Magnoliopsida; Asterales; Asteraceae.